GUCUUAUUGAAUAAUAAUUUUAAGUCAAUUCUGCCCAAUGAUUUUAAAUAAUUAAAUGGCUGCGGUAUAAUUGACUGUACAAAGGUAGCAUAAUCAAUUGUUUUUUAAUUAAAAACUGGAAUGAAAGAGUUAAUGAGAUAUACACUGUCUCAUAUAUAUUAAAUUAAUUUAAAUUUUUAGUUAAAAUGCUAAAAUUAAUUUAUGGGACGAUAAGACCCUAUAGAAUUUUAUAUUAAUAUUUUAAUUAUAAUUUUAUUAUUGAAUAUUAAUAUUUUGUUGGGAGGAUAGGUAAAUUUAUUAAACUUUAUUUUAAAUAUUAACUUUAAUUAAAGAAUAUAUUUUGAUCUUUUAGUAAAAAUGAAAAGAGUAAAUUACCUUAGGGAUAACAGCGUAAUAUCUUUUUAAAGAUCUUAUUGAAAAAGAUGAUUGCGACCUCGAUGUUGAAUUAAGAUAAAUUUUAAAUGAAGAAAUUUAAUAAUUAAGUCUGUUCGACUUUUAAAAUCUC
This 505-nucleotide ribosomal RNA is filed under the name Bombus terrestris (buff-tailed bumblebee). RNAcentral describes it as "partial 16S ribosomal RNA". The stretch from base 382 to 505 matches the Rfam family "Bacterial large subunit ribosomal RNA", at positions 2473 to 2597 of the family's 2925-position model. The record is from RNAcentral. Lineage: Eukaryota; Metazoa; Arthropoda; Insecta; Hymenoptera; Apidae.